Molecule: ribosomal RNA, 247 nt
Filed under: uncultured bacterium
Lineage: Bacteria
Description: partial 16S ribosomal RNA
Rfam family: Bacterial small subunit ribosomal RNA
Source: RNAcentral
GCCAUCCUACGGGGCGCAGCAGUGGGGAAUCUUCCGCAAUGGGCGCAAGCCUGAUGCAGCAACGCCGCGUGAGCGAUGAAGGCCUUCGGGUCGUAAAGCUCUGUCCUCAAGGAAGAUAAUGACGGUACUUGAGGAGGAAGCCCCGGCUAACUACGUGCCAGCAGCCGCGGUAAUACGUAGGGGGCUAGCGUUAUCCGGAAUUACUGGGCGUAAAGGGUGCGUAGGUGGUUUCUUAAGUCAGAGGUGA